This is a long non-coding RNA of Drosophila willistoni, 160 nucleotides long. RefSeq lists it as uncharacterized. The record is from RefSeq and is a predicted model, not a curated record. NCBI's taxonomy places the organism in Eukaryota, Metazoa, Arthropoda, Insecta, Diptera, Drosophilidae. The transcript has 4 exons.
UUUAUUACAACUCAACCCAAGCAAAGACGUCCAACUGGGACACUUCAGAAUGGAAAAGCUGCCGCAGAUUUAGUUCCCCAACCACCACAAACGUCUGAAUCAACUCCAAACUUGACACCACAAGAAAAAAAUAUUUCUUCAACGGCUCGCAGGGUAAAUG